This is a non-coding RNA of Podarcis lilfordi (Lilford's wall lizard), 77 nucleotides long. The record is from the annotation of a GenBank genome assembly. Lineage: Eukaryota; Metazoa; Chordata; Lepidosauria; Squamata; Lacertidae.
GGAGAAGGGCCAUAGCUCAGUGCUCUAGUGUCUGCCUUGCAUGCAGAAGGUCCCUGGUUUAAUCCCCAGCAUCUCCA